ACCCGCUGAACUUAAGCAUAUCAAUAAGCGGAGGAAAAGAAACCAACAGGGAUUGCCUCAGUAACGGCGAGUGAAGCGGCAAGAGCUCAAAUUUGAAAUCUGGUCCUUUCAGGGCCCGAGUUGUAAUUUGCAGAGGAUGCUUUGGGUGCGGCCGCGGCGUAAGUGCCCUGGAACGGGCUGUCGCAGAGGGUGAGAAUCCCGUCUUGAGUCGCCGGUUCGCGCCCGUGUAAAGCUCCUUCGACGAGUCGAGUUGUUUGGGAAUGCAGCUCUAAAUGGGUGGUAAAUUUCAUCUAAAGCUAAAUAUUGGCUGGAGACCGAUAGCGCACAAGUAGAGUGAUCGAAAGGUUAAAAGCACCUUGAAAAGGGAGUUAAAUAGCACGUGAAAUUGUUGAAAGGGAAGCGCUUGCAACCAGACUCGGCCGCAGAGGCUCAACGGGCACGUGUGCCUGUGCACUCCUCUGUGGUCGGGCCAGCAUCAGUUCUGGCGACCGGUCAAAGGCCCCUGGAAUGUGUCGUCCUCCGGGACGUCUUAUAGCCAGGGGUGCAAUGCGGCCAGCCGGGACUGAGGAACGCGCUUCGGCACGGAUGCUGGCAUAAUGGUUGUAAGCGGCCCGUCUUGAAACACGG
This 627-nucleotide ribosomal RNA is filed under the name uncultured fungus. RNAcentral describes it as "LSU rRNA". It matches the Rfam family "Eukaryotic large subunit ribosomal RNA", at positions 23 to 664 of the family's 3401-position model. Lineage: Eukaryota; Fungi. The record is from RNAcentral.